CCUGUUAUCCCUAAGGUAGCAUAAUUAGUUGUCAUUUAAUUGAUGAAGAGAAUGAGUGGUUACACGAAUUUUUCACUGUCUUAAAAAAAAUUUUUUAAAAUUGAAAUAAUAGUUAAGAUGCUAUUUAAAAUUGUAAGACGAAGAGACCCUAUAGAGCUUUACUAUAAACUUUUUUCUUAAAAAUAAUAAAAAAUUAUUAAAACUAGAAAGUUUGGUAGUUUAGUUGGGGCGACUGUUUUUUAAAAACAACAAAAAUAAGCAAUAUAAUAAAUUUAUUUAUUGUAUAAUUAAACAAUUUAACAAUUACUAUAGUAGGCUAUAAUGACCCGUUAUUAUAAUAAAUAAUAAAUAACGAUUAAUUGAUAAAAGCUACCUUAGGGAUAACAGGA
RNAcentral lists this ribosomal RNA (389 nucleotides) under Hydra vulgaris (swiftwater hydra). RNAcentral's name for it is "partial 16S ribosomal RNA". It matches the Rfam family "Bacterial large subunit ribosomal RNA", at positions 1941 to 2482 of the family's 2925-position model. Lineage: Eukaryota; Metazoa; Cnidaria; Hydrozoa; Anthoathecata; Hydridae. The record is from RNAcentral.